RNAcentral lists this small RNA (28 nucleotides) under Bombyx mori (domestic silkworm). RNAcentral's name for it is "ovarian small RNA-21411". The record is from RNAcentral. Lineage: Eukaryota; Metazoa; Arthropoda; Insecta; Lepidoptera; Bombycidae.
UACUCGUCAACAACUUCAGGUGUAGAGU